GCUUGUCUCAAAGAUUAAGCCAUGCAUGUGUACGUUCAAGCCCUUGUACGGUGAAACUGCGGAUGGCUCAUUAUAUCAGUGAUAAUUUGGUUGAUGGAGAGAUAUCGUGGAUAACCGUGGUAAUUCUAGAGCUAAUACAUGCAGAGCAGACGCAAGUCUGGCAUUUAUUAGAUAAAGCCUUGGCGGGGGGCUUCGGCCCGCUGCUGCGGUGAGAGAUGAUAACUGGGCGGAUCGCGCUUUGGCGCGACGCAUCAAGGAAAUUUCUGCCCUAUCAACUGUGGACGGUAGGAUCGAGGCCUACCGUGGUGGUGACGGGUACGGGGAAUCGGGGUUUGAUUCCGGAGAGGGAGCCUGAGAGAUGGCUACCACUUCCAAGGAAGGCAGCAGG
This 388-nucleotide ribosomal RNA is filed under the name uncultured fungus. RNAcentral describes it as "partial small subunit ribosomal RNA". It matches the Rfam family "Eukaryotic small subunit ribosomal RNA", at positions 30 to 432 of the family's 1831-position model. Lineage: Eukaryota; Fungi. The record is from RNAcentral.